RNAcentral lists this small RNA (154 nucleotides) under Spermophilus dauricus (Daurian ground squirrel). RNAcentral describes it as "7SK RNA (ENSSDAG00000007881.1)". It matches the Rfam family "7SK RNA", at positions 116 to 273 of the family's 331-position model. From Rfam's summary of the family: 7SK was discovered as an abundant small nuclear RNA in the mid-70s but a possible function has only recently been suggested. Two independent studies have found that 7SK RNA binds the CDK9/cyclin T complex (known as elongation factor P-TEFb). The record is from RNAcentral. Lineage: Eukaryota; Metazoa; Chordata; Mammalia; Rodentia; Sciuridae.
UCUCUCUGAAACUGCACACUCAAUGGAAGAGGACAACCUUCCCCAAUAGAGGAGGACUGUUCCUCAGUUGAGGGUAUAUGGAGUAGCUGUGCUUCCCUGGUAGAAUCUCCACACAAGCUCUCAGGGAAAGCUGAGGUAGAAGGACCACUUUAGC